UACGAACUGUGCGAACGUUAUUCGGAAUCACUGGGCUUAAAGGGUGCGUAGGCGGUUUUCUAAGUCAGGUGUGAAAUCUUCCGGCUCAACCGGAAAACUGCGCCUGAGACUGGAUAACUUGAGUGAGGUAGGGGUGUGUGGAACUUCCGGUGGAGCGGUGAAAUGUGUAGAGAUCGGAAGGAACGCCAGCAGCGAAAGCGGCACACUGGGCCUUUUCUGACGCUGAGGCACGAAAGCUAGGGGAGUGAACGGGAUUAGAUACCCCGGUAAUCCUAGCCGUAAACACUGAACACUGGAGGACGGGGGCUUCGGCCUUCGUUCUCGUAGCGAAAGCGUUAAGUGUUCCGCCUGGGGAGUAUGGUCGCAAGGCUGAA
This 374-nucleotide ribosomal RNA is filed under the name uncultured bacterium. Its description in RNAcentral is "bacterial SSU rRNA". It matches the Rfam family "Bacterial small subunit ribosomal RNA", at positions 524 to 898 of the family's 1533-position model. The record is from RNAcentral.